GAUGAACGCUGGCGGCGUGCCUAAUACAUGCAAGUCGAGCGAACGGACGAGAAGCUUGCUUCUCUGAUGUUAGCGGCGGACGGGUGAGUAACACGUGGAUAACCUACCUAUAAGACUGGGAUAACUUCGGGAAACCGUAGCUAAUACCGGAUAAUAUUUUGAACCGCAUGGUUCAAAAGUGAAAGACGGUCUUGCUGUCACUUAUAGAUGGAUCCGCGCUGCAUUAGCUAGUUGGUAAGGUAACGGCUUACCAAGGCAACGAUGCAUAGCCGACCUGAGAGGGGGAUAGGCCACACGGGAACUGAGACACGGUCCAGACUCCUACGGGAGGCAGCAGUAGGGAAUCUUCCGCAAUGGGCGAAAGCCUGACGGAGCAACGCCGCGUGAGUGAUGAAGGUCUUCGGAUCGUAAAACUCUGUUAUUAGGGAAGAACAUAUGUGUAAGUAACUGUGCACAUCUUGACGGUACCUAAUCAGAAAGCCACGGCUAACUACGUG
RNAcentral lists this ribosomal RNA (497 nucleotides) under uncultured bacterium. RNAcentral describes it as "partial 16S ribosomal RNA". It matches the Rfam family "Bacterial small subunit ribosomal RNA", at positions 28 to 507 of the family's 1533-position model. The record is from RNAcentral.